Carya illinoinensis is the source of this 1080-nucleotide long non-coding RNA. RefSeq lists it as uncharacterized. NCBI's taxonomy places the organism in Eukaryota, Viridiplantae, Streptophyta, Magnoliopsida, Fagales, Juglandaceae. The transcript is spliced from 2 exons. The record is from RefSeq and is a predicted model, not a curated record.
GUUUGAGUGAUAUAUCGUAUGUUUAAGUAUCGGAGGAUAAUUUUAAAUAUUUUAAGAAUAUUUACAGUUAAAAUUAUAAUUAUAUAAUAUACAAUACUAAUUUUUAAAGUACCGCCCCCGCAACCUAUAACAUAGUUCCGCCCCUAGGUACUUCAGAAUAUUCUCCGGUAGUUCCUCUGCCACCGUAGCUGUUGCCGAGAACCACCACCACAGGUCCACCACUGCUGCUGGGAAGCACUGUUUACAUCUCUCCAGAAUUCAGGUGAUCAUUAAUCGGUUUAUUCAUGAUGGAAGCCAAAUUUUUUCGCUUUCUUAAGAUUGUGGGUGUUGGGUACAAAGCUAGAGCUGAAGCUGAAGGAUGCCUCUUGUUUCUGAAAUUGGGAUACUCAAGGAUGCCUCUUGUUUCUGAAAUUGGGAUACAGUCAUGAGGUUGAACUGACUGUCCCUCCGGCAGUCCGUGUUUUCUGCUUCAAGAACAAUGUAGUUUGUUGCACUGGAAUCGAUAAACAGGGAGUGCACCAGUUUGCUGCUGCUGUUCGCAGCUGUAAGCCGCCAGAGGUGUACAAGGGCAAGGGUAUUAUGUAUGUUGAUGAAGUAAUCAAGAAGAAGCAAGGAAAGAAAUCAAAAUGAUUGCAAUCAGGAUAAGUUAUGUUGGAGAAUGUUUUAGAUGAAUUCAUGGAUGGACAUUCCAAGCCUCGUUUUGUCAAGAUGAGUUUGCCUGUGUGUCCAAAUCAGACAAUUCUUGCAGCAUGGUGCUUUUCAAGCUGGUAAUGAGAGCUAUGUAAUAGCUGAUCCAAUUUUAUCUGAAUCAGUUUGGGAUUUUUGCUUUAAUAAAUUGCUCCAUGAAUUUCGGUGCAAGUGUUCUCGAAGAAAAGCAAGACUGAUCUUUGAUCUUAUUGUCAUCUAGAGUAUAGAACCAACAUCUCUUUUUUAACUGGAUGAGCAGGUCAGCCUGUCUAUUGCCAAACCCACUUUAACCUCUCCAGGCUAGAGAAAUGGCUAAUUUCUAGAUGUUUUCUCCCCUCCCGUGUUAGUUAAGUUCAUUUAUUUGCAAUCUACGAGUUAACCUUUAAGGUGUGA